RNAcentral lists this ribosomal RNA (292 nucleotides) under uncultured bacterium. RNAcentral's name for it is "partial 16S ribosomal RNA". It matches the Rfam family "Bacterial small subunit ribosomal RNA", at positions 505 to 796 of the family's 1533-position model. The record is from RNAcentral.
GUGUCAGCAGCCGCGGUAAUACGAAGGGUGCGAGCGUUAUUCGGAAUCACUGGGCGUAAAGGGUGCGUAGACGGUUUGUUAAGUUUGUCGUUAAAGACUCCGGCCUAACUGGAGGGUCGCGAUGAAAACUGGCGAACUAGAGGGCGAGAGAGAGAAGUGGAAUUCCCGGAGUAGCGGUAAAAUGCGUGGAUCUCGGGAGGAACACCAAUGGCGAAGGCAGCUUCUUGGCUCAUUUCUGACGUUGAGGCACGAAAGCGUGGGUAGCGAACAGGAUUAGAUACCCUUGUAGUCC